RNAcentral lists this long non-coding RNA (1049 nucleotides) under Cicer arietinum (chickpea). RNAcentral describes it as "long non-coding RNA (CARI_LNC003271)". Lineage: Eukaryota; Viridiplantae; Streptophyta; Magnoliopsida; Fabales; Fabaceae. The record is from RNAcentral.
AAAAAAAAUACCAUAUCACUUACUCGUACUAGUACCGUACCUAAGCGUCAUAGAUCUUAUGCUGAUACGAUUUUCAUGCCACUGUAUUGAUGUUACCAUAUAUUUCCUCUGAUUAUGAUAUCAUUGUGCAAACAUAUCGGUCUGUGAACAUGAGUUUGAAGUAGAGGUUGUGUCGUUGGGUUGGGCUAUAUGCUCACUAAGCUUGAUUUUGAUUUGCAACGGAAGAUUAGGUGCACAAGCUUGAAGUGUGGUAAUGAGGUACACAAUUUUUGAUAUAGUCAAUGAAAAUUAAUUUUUUGGAAAUUCUCUUGAAAUAUGUACCAGAUCCCAUGCUCUCUCAUAUAUCGUGUUAUUUUUAUCAAUAGUACUUUGCUAGUUUUCUACUUCUGCAUACUUUUUAUGCUUCAGUUUUUUUAUAGAAUAUCUUUUUCUUUGCUGGACUUCAUUUGUGUACUAAAGAGCUAAAUAGCUUAUUGAAUAAGCCUGUUGAAUAAAGCAUACACAUAGAAAAUAAAUAUGUAUACUGAAUAAUUAAGCAAAAGACUGGAUGUUUUUUCCUUCCAAAGUAGCUAUCCCCUCUCAUUAUAGCUGUUGACAUAGUAAUCAGCCAAUUCUUUAAAAAAUAAUGUAUAUAGUUAUAGUUGUCAACAUAGUUGGUCUAGUAUUGUGAAGAGGAUAGUUGCUUGGCUACCUAAAAACUAGUUUUAGAAUUUAGAAAUGAGAAUCAUUAUUUAAUCAUUAUUCAUUUUGUGUGGCGAAUGCUACAGACUGAUGUUUUUUUUCCCAGUUAUAUAAAUAUGUUUAUUCAAUGGAUUUGAUUAUGUUGUGUUAUGCUUGUUUUUCUUAAUUCCUCGCUUCUGUUGGUAUAUUCAAGUUCUUCAAAUCUUCAAUGGUAUUUUGAUUUAUAAUUACAUAUAUAUGUUAUUUAUAACAAGAUUUCUGAUUUGAUGUCUUAUAGUUUAUAACUUUGAUGGCACAUAAAUUUGAAAUAGUUAUUGACGAUCAAGCUGGAAAACAGUUCAAAUGUAGGAUCAGUUGAGGAAGCCNNN